UUUAACUGAAGAGUUUGAUCAUGGCUCAGAUUGAACGCUGGCGGCAGGCUUAACACAUGCAAGUCGAGCGGGGGAAGGUAGCUUGCUACUGGACCUAGCGGCGGACGGGUGAGUAAUGCUUAGGAAUCUGCCUAUUAGUGGGGGACAACAUCUCGAAAGGGAUGCUAAUACCGCAUACGUCCUACGGGAGAAAGCAGGGGAUCUUCGGACCUUGCGCUAAUAGAUGAGCCUAAGUCGGAUUAGCUAGUUGGUGGGGUAAAGGCCUACCAAGGCGACGAUCUGUAGCGGGUCUGAGAGGAUGAUCCGCCACACUGGGACUGAGACACGGCCCAGACUCCUACGGGAGGCAGCAGUGGGGAAUAUUGGACAAUGGGGGGAACCCUGAUCCAGCCAUGCCGCGUGUGUGAAGAAGGCCUUAUGGUUGUAAAGCACUUUAAGCGAGGAGGAGGCUACUUUAGUUAAUACCUAGAGAUAGUGGACG
Molecule: ribosomal RNA, 481 nt
Filed under: Acinetobacter baumannii
Lineage: Bacteria; Pseudomonadati; Pseudomonadota; Gammaproteobacteria; Moraxellales; Moraxellaceae
Description: bacterial SSU rRNA
Rfam family: Bacterial small subunit ribosomal RNA
Source: RNAcentral